RNAcentral lists this long non-coding RNA (210 nucleotides) under Rhopalosiphum maidis (corn leaf aphid). RNAcentral's name for it is "uncharacterized LOC113556953, transcript variant X2". The record is from RNAcentral. Lineage: Eukaryota; Metazoa; Arthropoda; Insecta; Hemiptera; Aphididae.
GGACUAGACGAUACUGACAAUAAUAAUGGUUUUAUGCAAAGUACGAGUAAUGGAUUGCAGUGCAACAGAUCACUCAACGGUUGCUGAGCAUGAAUUAACAUUUUUAGCGCUUGGAAUAGUUUCAACAUCCUAUGUUUAAUAUGGAUUAGAAGAUUGCAGUGCAGCAGUUCACCCAAGGCUUGCUGAGACAGGAAUUUGCAUUCAUACCAC